GACGAACGCUGGCGGCGUGCUUUACACAUGCAAGUCGAACGGUGAAGGUGGAGCUUGCUCCGCCGGAUCAGUGGCGAACGGGUGAGUAACACGUGGGCAACCUGCCCCUAACUUUGGGAUAACUACUCGAAAGAGUAGCUAAUACCGGAUAUGAAGUCUGUAGGCAUCUACGGAUUUGGAAAGUUUUUCGGUUAGGGAUGGGCCCGCGGCCUAUCAGCUUGUUGGUGAGGUAGUGGCUCACCAAGGCGACGACGGGUAGCCGGCCUGAGAGGGCGACCGGCCACACUGGGACUGAGACACGGCCCAGACUCCUACGGGAGGCAGCAGUGGGGAAUAUUGCACAAUGGGCGCAAGCCUGAUGCAGCGACGCCGCGUGAGGGAUGACGGCCUUCGGGUUGUAAACCUCUUUCAGCACCGACGAAGCGCAAGUGACGGUAGGUGCAGAAGAAGGACCGGCCAACUACGUGCCAGCAGCCGCGGUAA
This 483-nucleotide ribosomal RNA is filed under the name uncultured bacterium. RNAcentral's name for it is "partial 16S ribosomal RNA". It matches the Rfam family "Bacterial small subunit ribosomal RNA", at positions 28 to 523 of the family's 1533-position model. The record is from RNAcentral.